GACGAACGCUGGCGGCGUGCUUAACACAUGCAAGUCGAGCGGUAAGGCCCUUCGGGUACGACGAGCGGCGAACGGGUGAGUAACACGUGGGUGACCUGCCCUCAGCUCUGGGAUAAGCCUGGGAAACCGGGUCGUAAUACCGGAUAUGACUCCAUGACGCAUGUUGUGGGGUGGAAAGCCUUGUGCGGCUGAGGAUGGGCCCGCGGCCUAUCAGCUUGUUGUGGGGUGAUGGCCUACCAAGGCGACGACGGGUAGCCGGCCUGAGAGGGCGACCGGCCGACACUGGGACUGAGACACGGCCCAGACUCCUACGGGAGGCAGCAGUGGGGAAUCUUGCGCAAUGGGCG
This 347-nucleotide ribosomal RNA is filed under the name uncultured bacterium. Its description in RNAcentral is "bacterial SSU rRNA". It matches the Rfam family "Bacterial small subunit ribosomal RNA", at positions 28 to 377 of the family's 1533-position model. The record is from RNAcentral.